GACGAACGCUGGCGGCGUGCUUAACACAUGCAAGUCGAACGGUGAAGCGCCUUCCUUUUUGGUGGGUGUGGAUGAGUGGCGAACGGGUGAGUAACACGUGAGUAACCUGCCCCCUUCUUCUGGAUAACCGCAUGAAAGUGUGGCUAAUACGGGAUAUUCUGGGUCUGUCGCAUGAUGGGUCUGGGAAAGAUAUUGUUUCGGUGGGGGAUGGGCUCGCGGCCUAUCAGCUUGUUGGUGGGGUGAGGGCCUACCAAGGCGGUGACGGGUAGCCGGCCUGGGAGGGUGGACGGUCACACUGGGACUGAGACACGGCCCAGACUCCUACGGGAGGCAGCAGUGGGGAAUAUUGAACAAUGGGCGCAAGCCUGAUGCAGCGACGCCGCGUGAGGGAUGGAGGCCUUCGGGUUGUGAACAUCUUUCGCCAGUGAAGCAGGCCUGCCUCGUUUGUGGGUGGGUUGACGGUAGCUGGAUAAGAAGCGCCGGCUAACUACGUG
RNAcentral lists this ribosomal RNA (494 nucleotides) under uncultured bacterium. Its description in RNAcentral is "partial 16S ribosomal RNA". It matches the Rfam family "Bacterial small subunit ribosomal RNA", at positions 28 to 507 of the family's 1533-position model. The record is from RNAcentral.